Molecule: ribosomal RNA, 800 nt
Filed under: uncultured bacterium
Lineage: Bacteria
Description: bacterial SSU rRNA
Rfam family: Bacterial small subunit ribosomal RNA
Source: RNAcentral
AGAGUUUGAUCAUGGCUCAGAACGAACGCUGGCGGCAGGCCUAACACAUGCAAGUCGAGCGCCCCGCAAGGGGAGCGGCGGACGGGUGAGUAACACGUGGGAAUUUUCCUCAAGGUACGGAACAACUCAGGGAAACUUGGGCUAAUACCGUAUGAUGCAGAGAUGCCAAAGAUUUAUCGCCUUGGGAUAAGCCCGCGUCAGAUUAGGUAGUUGGUGGGGUAAUGGCCUACCAAGCCUGUGAUCUGUAGCUGGUCUGAGAGGACGAUCAGCCACAUUGGGACUGAGACACGGCCCAAACUCCUACGGGAGGCAGCAGUGGGGAAUCUUGCGCAAUGGGCGAAAGCCUGACGCAGCCAUGCCGCGUGAAUGAUGAAGGUCUUAGGAUUGUAAAGUUCUUUCGCCCGUGACGAUGAUGACGGUAACGGGAGAAGAAGCCCCGGCUAACUUCGUGCCAGCAGCCGCGGUAAUACGAAGGGGGCUAGCGUUGUUCGGAAUUACUGGGCGUAAAGCGCGCGUAGGCGGUUUUGCAAGCCAGAGGUGAAAUGCCCGAGCUCAACUUGGGAAUUGCCUUUGGGACUGUGAGGCUUUGAGGACGAGAGAGGUGAGUGGAAUUCCCAGUGUAGAGGUGAAAUUCGUAGAUAUUGGGAAGAACACCGGUGGCGAAGGCGGCUCACUGGCUCGUUUCUGACGCUAAAGCGCGAAAGCGUGGGGAUCAAACAGGAUUAGAUACCCUGGUAGUCCACGCUGUAAACGAUGAGUGCUAGGCGUCGGCAGGCUUGCCUGUCGGUGCCGCAGCUAAC